GUCCAAUAAAAAUGUAGGGGUCUUCUACUGGUCGUGCACCGAUUCACGUUAAUAGAAGGAUAGUAGUAAAUAUUCUUCAAAAUAAAAGUUUAUUGAUUGGAUAAAAUUGGGUCCUAUUGAAUUUUUUUUUAUUUGUGAAGGGUAUGAUAUAUAAAAUUGCAAUUGAUAGGAUGAGAGCAAUUACUCCUCCUAAUUUGUUAGGAAUUGAUCGUAGGAUUGCAUAGGCGAAUAAGAAGUAUCAUUCUGGCUUAAUAUGGGCAGGAGUUACUAAGGGAUUUGCUGGUGUGAAAUUAUCAGGGUCUCCUAGAAAAUAAGGUGAAUAGAGUGUUAAAAAUGUUAAUAAAAAUAAUAUAAUUAAUAUGCCUAAAAUGUCUUUAUAUGUAAAAUAGGGGUGGAAUGGGAUUUUAUCAAUAUUUUUUAUAGUUCCGAGGGGGUUAUUUGAUCCUGUUUGGUGGAGGAAUAAGAGAUGGAUAAUUACAAAUGCAGUAACGAUAAAUGGUAAUAAAAAAUGAAAUGCAAAGAAUCGGGUUAAAGUUGCGUUAUCGACUGCGAAUCCCCCCCAAAUUCAUUGAACAAUAGAAGUUCCUAAAUAUGGGAUAGCAGAGACUAAAUUAGUAAUAACUGUGGCCCCUCAAAAAGAUAUUUGACCUCAGGGUAAUACAUACCCUAAGAAAGCGGUGGCUAUUACUAGGAAAAAGAUUGUUACUCCAAUUAUUCAGGUUUCUUUAAGAUUAUAGGAUCUAUAAUAAAGUCCUCGCCCAAUAUGAAUAUAGAGACAAAUAAAAAAAAAAGAAGCUCCAUUAGCAUGGAGUGUUCGGAUUAGUCAUCCAUAAUUGACAUUACGACAAAUAUGGGCCACACUAUUAAAGGCUAAUUCAAUAUUGGGGCAGUAGUGUAUAGCUAAGAAAAUACCAGUUAAAAUUUGAAGUGUUAGACAUAAUCCUAGAAGGGAGCCAAAAUUUCAUAAAGAUGAGAUUCUUGAUGGGGUUGGGAGAUCAAUUAGAGAAUUAUUGAAAAUUUU
This 1021-nucleotide unclassified non-coding RNA is filed under the name Hevea brasiliensis (rubber tree). The record is from RNAcentral. Lineage: Eukaryota; Viridiplantae; Streptophyta; Magnoliopsida; Malpighiales; Euphorbiaceae.